This 255-nucleotide non-coding RNA is filed under the name Metabacillus litoralis. RNAcentral describes it as "Bacillus litoralis T-box sequence". It matches the Rfam family "T-box leader". Rfam says of the family: Uncharged tRNA acts as the effector for transcription antitermination of genes in the T-box leader family. Lineage: Bacteria; Bacillati; Bacillota; Bacilli; Caryophanales; Bacillaceae. The record is from RNAcentral.
CAUAAAGCAGUGAAGAGGAUAAGUAGUCUUUGGAAAAGUAUUCAACAGAGAACCGGGGUAGCUGGAAGCCGGUGAUACUCCCAAAUGAUGAACUCGCCUCUGAGUGUUAAUCUGAAUGUUAGUAAGAUUAACCGGGUCCCAUUCUUCGGUACUCGUUAUCAAAGUGAACAGUAAAUCUGUUCGUAAGGUGGUCGCUUUUUGACCAUGAAGAAGGGUGGUACCGCGAAAAAGUUUAUUAACCUUUUUGCCCCUUUG